UUGGAGGGCAAGUCUGGUGCCAGCAGCCGCGGUAAUUCCAGCUCCAAUAGCGUAUAUUAAAGUUGUUGCAGUUAAAAAGCUCGUAGUUGAAUUUCGGGAUCAAUAUUUCGGUCAUGCCGUUGGUAUGCACUGUUAUCAUUGAUUUCUCACCUUCUAAAGAACCGUAAUGCCAUUAAUUUGGUGUCACGGGGAAUUAGGACUGUUACCUUGAAAAAAUUAGAGUGUUUAAAGCAGGCUCACGCUUGAAUACAUUAGCAUGGAAUAAUGAAAUAGGACAUCCGAUUCUAUUUUGUUGGUUUCUAGGAUCGAUGUAAUGAUUAAUAGGGAUAGUUGGGGGCAUUAGUAUUCAAUUGUCAGAGGUGAAAUUCUUGGAUUUAUUGAAGACUAACUACUGCGAAAGCAUUUGCCAAGGAUGUUUUCAUUAAUCAAGAACGAAAGUUAGGGGAUCGAAGACGAUCAGAUACCGUCGUAGUCUUAACCAUAAACUAUGCCGACUAGGGAUCGGAUGAUGUUAAUUUUUUAAUGACUCAUUCGGCACCUUACGGGAAACCAAAG
Molecule: ribosomal RNA, 555 nt
Filed under: uncultured Glomus
Lineage: Eukaryota; Fungi; Glomeromycota; Glomeromycetes; Glomerales; Glomeraceae
Description: SSU rRNA
Rfam family: Eukaryotic small subunit ribosomal RNA
Source: RNAcentral